GCAGUNGAACGCGCAGCGAGAGGUGCUUGCACCUUUCAAGCGAGUGGCGAACGGGUGAGUAACACGUGGAUAACCUGCCUCAAGGCUGGGGAUAACAUUUGGAAACAGAUGCUAAUACCGAAUAAAACUUAGUAUCGCAUGAUAUCAAGUUAAAAGGCGCUACGGCGUCACCUAGAGAUGGAUCCGCGGUGCAUUAGUUAGUUGGUGGGGUAAAGGCUUACCAAGACGAUGAUGCAUAGCCGAGUUGAGAGACUGAUCGGCCACAUUGGGACUGAGACACGGCCCAAACUCCUACGGGAGGCUGCAGUAGGGAAUCUUCCACAAUGGGCGCAAGCCUGAUGGAGCAACGCCGCGUGUGUGAUGAAGGCUUUCGGGUCGUAAAGCACUGUUGUAUGGGAAGAAAUGCUAAAAUAGGGAAUGAUUUUAGUUUGACGGUACCAUACCAGAAAGGGACGGCUAAAUACGUGCCAGCAGCCGCGGUAAUACGUAUGUCCCGAGCGUUAUCCGGAUUUAUUGGGCGUAAAGCGAGCGCAGACGGUUGAUUAAGUCUGAUGUGAAAGCCCGGAGCUCAACUCCGGAAUGGCAUUGGAAACUGGUUAACUUGAGUGUUGUAGAGGUAAGUGGAACUCCAUGUGUAGCGGUGGAAUGCGUAGAUACUAUGGAAGAACACCAGUGGCGAAGGCGGCUUACUGGACAACAACUGACGUUGAGGCUCGAAAGUGUGGGUAGCAAACAGGAUUGAUACCUGGGUAGUCCACACCGUAAAACGA
Molecule: ribosomal RNA, 770 nt
Filed under: uncultured Leuconostoc sp.
Lineage: Bacteria; Bacillati; Bacillota; Bacilli; Lactobacillales; Lactobacillaceae
Description: bacterial SSU rRNA
Rfam family: Bacterial small subunit ribosomal RNA
Source: RNAcentral